This 468-nucleotide ribosomal RNA is filed under the name uncultured bacterium. RNAcentral describes it as "partial 16S ribosomal RNA". It matches the Rfam family "Bacterial small subunit ribosomal RNA", at positions 28 to 507 of the family's 1533-position model. The record is from RNAcentral.
GACGAACGCUGGCGGCGUGCUUAACACAUGCAAGUCGAACGGAAAGGCCCUGCUUUUGUGGGGUGCUCGAGUGGCGAACGGGUGAGUAACACGCGAGUAACCUGCCCUUGACUUUGGGAUAACUUCAGGAAACUGGGGCUAAUACCGGAUAGGAGCUCCUGCUGCAUGGUGGGGGUUGGAAAGUUUCGGCGGUUGGGGAUGGACUCGCGGCUUAUCAGCUUGUUGGUGGGGUAGUGGCUUACCAAGGCUUUGACGGGUAGCCGGCCUGAGAGGGUGACCGGCCACAUUGGGACUGAGAUACGGCCCAGACUCCUACGGGAGGCAGCAGUGGGGAAUAUUGCACAAUGGGCGGAAGUCUGAUGCAGCAACGCCGCGUGCGGGAUGACGGCCUUCGGGUUGUAAACCGCUUUCGCCUGUGACGAAGCGUGAGUGACGGUAAUGGGUAAAGAAGCACCGGCUAACUACGUG